Long non-coding RNA from Achroia grisella, 303 nucleotides. RefSeq lists it as uncharacterized. NCBI's taxonomy places the organism in Eukaryota, Metazoa, Arthropoda, Insecta, Lepidoptera, Pyralidae. The record is from RefSeq and is a predicted model, not a curated record. The transcript is spliced from 3 exons.
AUGAAGCACCAUUCGUUACUGAAGCUGAGAAGGCAGUACAAAAACAGUUUGUGUCGUGUACUGAAGAUGCAGUGCGCAAUUUACGCGUCGCUGAGGAGGAGAUGAAGAAUUUGAAGAGCGAUGGUCCAGUAUUGAGUGAAGAUCAAAAAAUAGCUGUUCAAAAUGCGAUAGAGCAAAAGUUAGGUCUUUCAGCUGCUGCGGUCGCUACACUGCUUGCUAGUAACCAAACAGAUACUGUUGACUACAACACUGCAUCGAAGUCAAUGAAGACUUUAUCCGAUUUAAUGCCGGCAGUUGUGAAAG